AGCGAACGCUGGCGGCGUGCCUAACACAUGCAAGUCGAACGUGAACGGGGGCAACCCUUAGUAAAGUGGCGUACGGGUGAGUAACACGUAGGUAAUCUACCCUGAAGUCCGGAAUAACCGGCCGAAAGGCUGGCUAAUACCAGAUAGAGCGACGGAAUCCGUAAUUGGGUUUUUCGGGUAAGGGAGCUCUGUAAGAGCCUUCGCUUAGGUAUGAGCCUGCGUCUCAUUAGCUAGUUGGUGGGGUAAGU
This 248-nucleotide ribosomal RNA is filed under the name uncultured bacterium. Its description in RNAcentral is "partial 16S ribosomal RNA". It matches the Rfam family "Bacterial small subunit ribosomal RNA", at positions 29 to 262 of the family's 1533-position model. The record is from RNAcentral.